GCUACGGGGGGCAGCAGUGGGGAAUAUUGCACAAUGGGGGAAACCCUGAUGCAGCGACGCCGCGUGAGUGAAGAAGUAAUUCGUUACGUAAAGCUCUAUCAGCAGGGAAGAAAUACUGACCUUACGGUCAGAAGACGGUACCUGUCGAAUAAGCCACGGCUAACUACGUGCCAGCAGCCGCGGUAAUACGUAGGUGGCAAGCGUUGUCCGGAUUUACUGGGUGUAAAGGGCGUGUAGCCGGGCUGACAAGUCAGAUGUGAAAUCCGGGGGCUCAACCCCCGAACUGCAUUUGAAACUGUUGGUCUUGAGUAUCGGAGAGGCAGGCGGAAUUCCUAGUGUAGCGGUGAAAUGCGUAGAUAUUAGGAGGAACACCAGUGGCGAAGGCGGCCUGCUGGACGGUGACUGACGCUGAGGCUCGAAAGCGUGGGGAGCAAACAGGAUUAGAUACCCUAGUAGUC
Molecule: ribosomal RNA, 458 nt
Filed under: uncultured bacterium
Lineage: Bacteria
Description: partial 16S ribosomal RNA
Rfam family: Bacterial small subunit ribosomal RNA
Source: RNAcentral